GCUGCAAUGGCUGAGUGAUUAAGGUGUUAGACUUAAAAUCCAAUGGGGUCGCUCCACACAGGUUCGAACCUUGCUUGCUGCU
Non-coding RNA from Gymnothorax javanicus (giant moray), 82 nucleotides. The record is from the annotation of a GenBank genome assembly. NCBI's taxonomy places the organism in Eukaryota, Metazoa, Chordata, Actinopteri, Anguilliformes, Muraenidae.